UUUAAACAAAACAAUUUUUUUUUCUCAGAAAAAUACCCAAAAAAAUCUCUUAAAUUUUUAUAUGAUUAGUACUCAAGCUUUUGAAGUUUAAGGGACCAUGCCAACAAUCUUCAAUUUCUUUCUCAUCUUCUUCACCAUAGUUAUUUGCUUUACAGCAGCCAACAUUGAAGCACAACCUGGUCAACUUCCUAAAGAUGAAGUGGAAGCUCUUAGAGAAAUAGCUGAUCAAUUGGGGAAAAAAGAUUGGGAUUUUAAGCUAAACCCUUGUGAUGGGAACUCAAAUUGGAGCACACCCAAAAGGAAAGAUAUGCCUUUGUAUAACAAUACCCUAGAAUGCAAUUGCACUUUCCCUGAUAAUCUUUGUCAUGUGGAAAAUAUAUUUCUCAAAGGACAGGAUCUUUCAGGUGUCCUCCCAGCAUCUCUGGCGAAGUUACCAUAUCUGAAGAAAAUUGAUCUCAACCGCAACUACUUAAGUGGUACAAUUCCGCCUGAAUGGGCGUCUACCAAGUUGGAAUUCAUGGCUAUUUCUAAUAAUCGGUUAUCUGGGCAUGUCCCAGAGUACAUAGGAAAUAUGACCUCACUUGUGAUAUUGAGUUUGGAGACUAACUGGUUUAAUGGAUCGUUACCAGCAGAAGUAGGGAAUCUGGUCAAUUUACAGAUUCUCAUUCUCAAAGCUAAUAAUUUCACAGGAGAGUGGCCAGUGGAACUGAAUAAUCUUACGAAAUUGAUUGAACUUAGGAUAACCAGUAACAGCUUUGUUGGUAAACUGCCUAACUUUGAGAGUUGGAAAAACCUCCAGAAGUUAGAAAUUGAAGGUUCUGGAUUUGAAGGACCACUACCCCCAAGUUUUUCUGUUUUGACCAGUUUGGAAGAACUAAGAAUCAGUGACCUCAACGGAGGUGCUUCAGAAUUCAUCACUUACAAACAUGACCAGGAUGUCUAAAUUGGUUUUGAGAAGCUGUAAUAUACAUGGGAAUAUUCAUGAUUCUGUAGCUGAAAUGGUCAACUUACGGUUUUUAGAUCUGAGUUUCAACAAGCUUGAAGGAGGAAUUGCGAAUCUCGAGGGUGUGAAUAAGAUGGAGGCCACGUAUCUGACUGGCAAUGAUUUUGUUGGGCAAAUUCCAGAUUGGCUUACUAGUCGAGAUACCAGAAAUGUGAUAGACCUUUCCUACAAUAAAUUUGAUGAAAGCUCUGAACCAUCUACCUGUCGGGACAACCUAAACUUAUUCAGAAGCUUUAAGGUCGAGAAUUUUGUAGAGCGCGGGAAGUGCUUCUCAGCCAGGCCGUGUUCAGAGGACAAGUACUCAUUGCACAUAAAUUGUGGUGGAGGAAAUGUAACUGUUGGAGACACUACUUAUAUAGCAGAUGAAGACUCAGCAGGUGCUGCAAAGUUUGUUUACUGGAAAGGGAACUGGGGAACCAGCAGUACAGGACAUUUCUGGGAUACCGACGUAUCGUUGAAUGACCACAAAGCAAAAAAUGUAUCUGCUAUCAAGGGAGAUGAAUCUCAACUUUACAUGACAGCUCACCUCUCCCCUUUAUCUAUGACUUACUUUGGACGUUGCUUGGCAAAUGGAAACUACACUUUGACACUUCAUUUCGCAGAAAUAGUUUACAGAGACAACCAAUCUUUCCAAAGUCUUGGAAGACGAAUAUUUGAUGUAUACAUACAGGACAAAUUGAAGUUUAAAGAUUUUGAUAUUAAAAGACUAGCCGGAGGAGUUGAUAGAGCUUUGAAAGAAAAGUUUAAUGUAACAGUGAAAGAUAAAACUGUACAAGUGCGCUUCCAGCAUGCUGGGAAAGGAACUACAUCAAUCCCGAUUAGUGGACACUAUGGUCCUUUAGUAUCUGCCAUCUCUCUGGAAGCUAACUUCAAGCCCCCUCCUCCGCUGGAGAUCUCUUCUAAUCAGAAAAAGAAGAUUCUAAUUGUAGCUGGAGCAGUGGUGUCUUCUUUAGCUCUUGUUCUGAUGAUUUUCUUUGUUGCUUGGAAGAAAAGAAGAAACAGGAAAUUGAUGGAACAAGAAUUAAGAGGGCUUGAUCUGCAAACUGGUAUAUUUACUUUCAGACAAAUUAAAGCUGCCACAAGUAACUUUGAUGCUGCAAAUAAGCUUGGUGAAGGUGGAUUUGGAUCUGUCUACAAGGGUACACUAGCAGAUGGUACUAUAAUUGCUGUCAAACAGCUUUCAUCCAAGUCAAGACAAGGGAACCGUGAAUUUGUGAAUGAAAUAGGCAUGAUGUCAGGCUUACAUCACCCAAAUCUUGUCCAACUCUACGGAUGUUGUGUUGAAUGGAACCAACUUUUACUAGUUUAUGAGUACAUGGAGAACAAUAACCUUACCCAUGUUUUGUUUGGUCCUGAAGACUGUCAGCCAAAACUGGACUGGCCAACUAGGCAAAAGAUCUGUGUUGGCAUAGCUAAAGGCUUGGCUUACCUACAUGAAGAAUCACCUCUAAAGAUGAUUCAUAGAGACAUCAAAGGAACCAAUGUACUCCUUGACAAAGACCUAAAUCCAAAGAUCUCGGACUUUGGUCUGGCCAAACUUCAUGACGAGGAGAAAACACAUGUCACCACCAGGGUUGCUGGGACUAUAGGUUAUAUGGCCCCUGAAUAUGCACUCUGGGGUUAUUUAACACAUAAAGCAGAUUUAUAUAGUUUUGGAGUGGUUGUAUUAGAACUCGUUGCUGGGAAGAACAACAUGAAAUAUCAUCCUGAUGAGAAUUAUGUCUGUCUUCUUGAUUGGGCCCUGGUGGUACAAAAAAAAGCCAAGUUUUUGGAGCUAGUAGACCCAAGGUUAGGUUCCAAUUACGACAAGAAGGAGGCGUUGAGGAUGAUUAAAGUGGCAUUACGAUGUACUAAUCCAUCUCCAGCACUAAGGCCAAACAUGUCUGCAGUGGUGAACAUGCUUGAAGGUCGUUUGAACGUCGAUGAGUCUAACUUCGAUUCAAGUGGCUACGGUGAUGAAUUGAAUUUUCAAGGUUUAAGAGACAAAUAUGAUGAGAUGCAAGUAACUUCUAGUGAAAACCAAUCAGUCUUUUUUUCAACUGACACAAAGGGUACUGAUCACUCUUCUUCUACCUUUCCUUCUACAUCUACCUCUAAAUAAGUCUCCCUGUAUGCUCAAUGUUGUAUUAUAUAAGACGAAAAAACUAUGAAGAAU
RNA transcript from Solanum stenotomum, 3158 nucleotides. It is a transcript of the gene named probable LRR receptor-like serine/threonine-protein kinase At1g07650, with no coding region annotated. NCBI's taxonomy places the organism in Eukaryota, Viridiplantae, Streptophyta, Magnoliopsida, Solanales, Solanaceae. The transcript is spliced from 24 exons. The record is from RefSeq and is a predicted model, not a curated record.